This 68-nucleotide non-coding RNA is filed under the name Mycolicibacterium parafortuitum. The record is from RNAcentral. Lineage: Bacteria; Bacillati; Actinomycetota; Actinomycetes; Mycobacteriales; Mycobacteriaceae.
ACGGGAAUCCGGUGUGAAUCCGGGACUGACGCGCAACGGUAUGGGCCACCUCGGCUCGAGUCCGACCG